This is a long non-coding RNA of Homo sapiens (human), 2177 nucleotides long. Ensembl annotates it as PLCG1 antisense RNA 1. Its record names the gene PLCG1-AS1. The record is from Ensembl. NCBI's taxonomy places the organism in Eukaryota, Metazoa, Chordata, Mammalia, Primates, Hominidae.
GAGUCUGGGAGGGCCCGAAAGUUUGCCCAAGUCGCUGGGGCGGCCGGCCGGGGUGCAAGCAGUCGGGCCGGGCUCCCACGACCCCCGCGCGGGGCGGGCCCAGGCAGGAAGUGGGCGCACUUACUGGCCCCCUCGAUCUUGUCGGCGCCCCGGCUCCACGUGAUCUGGCGCGUCUCCAGCUUGACCUGGAAGGUCUUCCGCUCGGGUCGCUGCGACUUCUUGGAGUAGAACAAAGUCAUGACGGUGCCCACCUCGAGGCUGCGGCAGAGCACCGCCAAAAUUGAGGACACCCACGGUCGCGGUGGAGCCUGUCUGACAUGUUGAGCCAGGCAGUGGGUCGGCUGCCAGGCACAGCAGGACAACUUACUGCAUUUCAGAGGAAUGAUGGUCCACAAUUUACUGAUGAGGAAACAGAGAUUCAGAGAAGUUCUACAAUUUGCCCCAAAGCCACAUAACAUGACUAGGUGGGAACUAGAACCCAAGUCGGCCUGACUCCAUGAGUUUUCUGCCUCACAGGAGAUCCACUGGCUUAGAGUUUCUCUCUCGUCGCCCAGGCUGGCGUGCAAUGGCACAAUCUUGGCUCACUGCAAUCUCCGCCUCCCGAGUUCAAGCAGUCCUGCCUCAGCCUCCUGAGUCUCUUUUGAUUUGGUGCUGUCACAGGUUGGGUUCUUUGGAUGUGGACUCUGUGACAGGCUGGCUGGGCUUCUGCACCAAGGAUCUAGGAUUCUCUCAAAUAAGCUGAGAUGGAGGUGGAGGCAGAAGCCACCCCGCUUAGAUCCAGCAGGAGAUGGCUGGCCUCCAAGAAGUAUGCUUGUCCCUGCAGUGUUCAAUGCCCUGAACAAGCUUUCUUGACUACUUUUAGAAAAUAAACUAUCCACCUAGGUCUUCCAGGCAAGGUCUCACAAAACCAUCUCAAGAAGACAAGGAAUCCACUGGAGAAGGCUGCCUUUGACCACCUCUCCUCUUUCCCUAAUUCAAUCACACUUCAGUAAUGGGUAAAAAUCUAAUUUAACUGAUUGUAGAUGACAUUCUUUGGAUGACUUUUUAAAACUAGUAGGCCCACUAUAUUGUCUCUCUAAUAUAGCUGCUAUCCAUUCAGCAGAGUGGUUGGGUGGAAUCAGGAUCUGGAUUCAAGAUUACAAAGUUGGGGGUGAGAAGGCAAAUUGGAUUCUGUUUUCUAGUAACUUUCUCAGACGUUUGUAAUGGGGAAGAGGACAUUUGCCAGUAUUCUUACAUGACUAUUUCCCUUCUCAGUCAAUUUCCACCAAGCAACCACUGAUCCUUCAAUCUGAUUACUAUCAUCAUGGAUAAAUUUUGCCUAGUCUAGAUUAUAUAAAUAGAAUCAUACAAUAUAGACUCCUCUGUCUGCCUUUUUAACUUUUUUUUUUCCCUCUGAGACAGCGUCUCGCUCUGUCACCAGGCUGGAGUACAGUGAUGCAAUCUCGGCUCAGUGCAACCUCUACCCCUCAGGUUCAAGCGAUUCCCAUGUCUCAGCCUCCUGAAUAGCUGAGAUUACAGGUGUGCGCCACCCUCGGCUAAUUUUUGUAUUUUUUUGUAGAGACGGUGUUUCGCCAUGUUGGCCAGGCUGGUCUCGAACUCCUGACCUGAAGUGAUCCACCCGCCUUGGCCUCCCAGAGUGCUUGGAUUACAGGCAUGCACCAACCGCACCUGGCCCUUAACCAUGUUUUUAAGAUUCAUCCAUGUUGUUGAAUACAUAAGUAGUUCCCUUCUUAACUGCUGAUAAAUAUAGUAUAUUCUAUGACUAUACCAUAAUGUGUUAUCUAUUCUGGGAUGUUUCCAGUUUUGCACUCUUAUGAAUAGAGCACUGCUAUGAACAUUCUUGUACAAGUUUUUUCAUGGAUAAAUGUUUUUAUUUCACUUGAGGUAAAAAUACCUAGAACUGGAAUUCGUAUCUCCCUGUGGUUAAAUCUUCACUCCACUGAUAAUUAGUGAUGUCGAGCACUCUUUCAUUUGCUUAUUUAUUGACCAUUCCUGUAUCUUCUUUUGUAUAGUAUAUGUUCAAGUCUUUUGCUCUUUUUAUUAUGCGGAUGGGAUGUCUGUUUUUUUAUUAUGGAGCUACAGGAAUUCUUUGUAUAGUCUGGAUAUAAGCCCUUUCAGAUAAACAUGUUGCAAAUAUUUUCUUUUAGUCUGUAAAUUCUGUAUUUAUUUUAGCAGUG